GGCCGCGGGAAUUCGAUUCAGGCCUAACACAUGCAAGUCGAGCGGUAGAGAGAAGCUUGCUUCUCUUGAAAAAGGCGGACGGGUGAGUAAUGCCUAGGAAUCUGCCUGGUAGUGGGGGAUAACGUUCGGAAACGGACGCUAAUACCGCAUACGUCCUACGGGAGAAAGCAGGGGGCCUUCGGGCCUUGCGCUAUCAGAUGAGCCUAGGUCGGAUUAGGUAGUUGGUGAGGUAAUGGCUCACCAAGGCUACGAUCCGUAACUGGUCUGAGAGGAUGAUCAGUCACACUGGAACUGGGGCACGGUCCAGACUCCUACGGGAGGCAGCAGUGGGGAAUAUUGGACAAUGG
RNAcentral lists this ribosomal RNA (347 nucleotides) under uncultured bacterium. RNAcentral describes it as "bacterial SSU rRNA". It matches the Rfam family "Bacterial small subunit ribosomal RNA", at positions 43 to 374 of the family's 1533-position model. The record is from RNAcentral.